This is a long non-coding RNA of Apodemus sylvaticus (European woodmouse), 422 nucleotides long. RefSeq lists it as uncharacterized. The transcript has 2 exons. The record is from RefSeq and is a predicted model, not a curated record. NCBI's taxonomy places the organism in Eukaryota, Metazoa, Chordata, Mammalia, Rodentia, Muridae.
GCAGGGGCAGGUUGUCCCCUUCAAAACCAAAGGACUGAAGUGACUGUUUCUUUUCUCCCUUUCUCUCUAACAGGUGGCAAGGGUCAUCCUCAUGAUGGGCCUGACCAUGGCCAUGGUCCAGGGCACUGUCCUGGGGGAAAACACCCUCCAGGACCUGGCGGCCCAGCCCCUGGCCAUGGUCCAGCCCCUCCAGGACCUGGUGGCCCACCCCCUGCCCAUGGCCCAGGACACUGUCCUGGGGGAAAUCACCCUCCAGGACAUGGCCCAGCCCCUGGUCAUCCUGGUCCACACCACUGAGAAAUCAGAAGAAAUGAAGACACAAGAUGAGGAGUCUGCAUGGAAUCCCCAGCUGACCUGGCACCGGAUCUAAAGUAGAAUUUUCUCUUGCAAUAAAUAGCCUCCUGGAGGCCAUAUUUGUUCUU